Molecule: transfer RNA, 72 nt
Filed under: Camelus bactrianus (Bactrian camel)
Lineage: Eukaryota; Metazoa; Chordata; Mammalia; Artiodactyla; Camelidae
Also listed under: 1 other name
Rfam family: tRNA
About the family: Transfer RNA (tRNA) molecules are approximately 80 nucleotides in length. Their secondary structure includes four short double-helical elements and three loops (D, anti-codon, and T loops).
Source: Rfam by way of RNAcentral
GAGGGUAUAGCUCAGUGGCAGAGUGCAUGCUUAGCAUGUAGAAGGUUCUGGGUUCAAUCCCUAGUACCUCCA